GGGCAACUGCACAGUACCCCAUGUACGGUACGGGUCCCGGCGGCAUAUUGAGCGGAGCGGCAGCGGCGGCAGCAGCAUUCUACCCAUAUUUCCAAUUCGGGGAAGGCAGCGGUGGCGGCGGUUCGGGGCAGCAAGGGUAUGGGGUUCAGUACCCUCACCAUCUGUUUCAGUACUCAGCGGCCAUUAAUUCAACUGCUGCAACGACCUUCCCUCAGCACUAUGCUGCUCCUCCUAUGUCUCUGCCUCCCACGCC
RNAcentral lists this unclassified non-coding RNA (253 nucleotides) under Hevea brasiliensis (rubber tree). The record is from RNAcentral. Lineage: Eukaryota; Viridiplantae; Streptophyta; Magnoliopsida; Malpighiales; Euphorbiaceae.